UGCUCGAGUGGCGAACGGGUGAGUAACACGUGGGUGAUCUGCCCUGCACUUUGGGAUAAGCCUGGGAAACUGGGUCUAAUACCGAAUACACCCUGCUGGUCGCAUGGCCUGGUGGGGGAAAGCUUUUGCGGUGUGGGAUGGGCCCGCGGCCUAUCAGCUUGUUGGUGGGGUGAUGGCCUACCAAGGCGACGACGGGUAGCCGGCCUGAGAGGGUGUCCGGCCACACUGGGACUGAGAUACGGCCCAGACUCCUACGGGAGGCAGCAGUGGGGAAUAUUGCACAAUGGGCGCAAGCCUGAUGCAGCGACGCCGCGUGGGGGAUGACGGCCUUCGGGUUGUAAACCCCUUUCAGUAUCGACGAAGCCGUAAGGUGACGGUAGGUACAGAAGAAGCACCGGCCAACUACGUGCCAGCAGCCGCGGUAAUACGUAGGGUGCGAGCGUUGUCCGGAAUUACUGGGCGUAAAGAGCUCGUAGGUGGUUUGUCGCGUUGUCCGUGAAAACUCACAGCUUAACUGUGGGCGUGCGGGCGAUACGGGCAGACUGGAGUACUGCAGGGGAGACUGGAAUUCCUGGUGUAGCGGUGGAAUGCGCAGAUAUCAGGAGGAACACCGGUGGCGAAGGCGGGUCUCUGGGCAGUAACUGACGCUGAGGAGCGAAAGCGUGGGGAGCGAACAGGAUUAGAUACCCUGGUAGUCCACGCCGUAAACGGUGGGUACUAGGUGUGGGUUUCCUUCCUUGGGAUCCGUGCCGUAGCUAACGCAUUAAGUACCCCGCCUGGGGAGUACGGCCGCAAGGCUAAAACUCAAAGG
This 811-nucleotide ribosomal RNA is filed under the name Mycolicibacterium elephantis. RNAcentral's name for it is "bacterial SSU rRNA". It matches the Rfam family "Bacterial small subunit ribosomal RNA", at positions 88 to 907 of the family's 1533-position model. The record is from RNAcentral. Lineage: Bacteria; Bacillati; Actinomycetota; Actinomycetes; Mycobacteriales; Mycobacteriaceae.